RNAcentral lists this unclassified non-coding RNA (371 nucleotides) under soil metagenome. RNAcentral's name for it is "partial contains 5.8S ribosomal RNA, internal transcribed spacer 2, and large subunit ribosomal RNA". The stretch from base 1 to 120 matches the Rfam family "5.8S ribosomal RNA", at positions 35 to 154 of the family's 154-position model. The record is from RNAcentral.
GAUGAAGAACGUAGCGAAAUGCGAUAAGUAAUGUGAAUUGCAGAAUUCAGUGAAUCAUCGAAUCUUUGGACGCACAUUGCGCCCGCCAGUAUUCUGGCGGGCAUGCCUGUUCGAGCGUCAUUUCAACCCUCAGGCCCCCAGUGCCUGGCGUUGGGGAUCGGCGUGGGCGGCGAACGGCUCUCCGGAGCCCGAGCCAAUGCCUGCCGGCCCCGAAAUUCAGUGGCGGUCUCGCUGUAGUCCCCCUCUGCGUAGUAGCACAACUCGCAUUGGAGCUCGGCGGUGGCCAUGCCGUAAAACACCCCACUUCUGAAAGUUGACCUCGGAUCAGGUAGGAAUACCCGCUGAACUUAAGCAUAUCAAUAAGCGGAGGA